UAACGCAUUAAGUUCCCCGCCUGGGGAGUACGGCCGCAAGGCUAAAACUCAAAGGAAUUGACGGGGACCCGCACAAGCGGCGGAGCAUGCGGAUUAAUUCGAUGCAACGCGAAGAACCUUACCAAGGCUUGACAUAUACGAGAACGGGCCAGAAAUGGUCAACUCUUUGGACACUCGUAAACAGGUGGUGCAUGGUUGUCGUCAGCUCGUGUCGUGAGAUGUUGGGUUAAGUCCCGCAACGAGCGCAACCCUCGUUCUAUGUUGCCAGCACGUAAUGGUGGGAACUCAUGGGAUACUGCCGGGGUCAACUCGGAGGAAGGUGGGGAUGACGUCAAAUCAUCAUGCCCCUUAUGUCUUGGGCUUCACGCAUGCUACAAUGGCCGGUACAAAGGGCUGCAAUACCGUGAGGUGGAGCGAAUCCCAAAAAGCCGGUCCCAGUUCGGAUUGAGGUCUGCAACUCGACCUCAUGAAGUCGGAGUCGCUAGUAAUCGCAGAUCAGCAACGCUGCGGUGAAUACGUUCCCGGGUCUUGUACACACCGCCCGUCAAGUCAUGAAAGUCGGUAACACCUGAAGCCGGUGGCCUAACCCUUGUGGAGGGAGCUGUCGAAGGUGGGAUCGGUAAUUAGGACUU
This 632-nucleotide ribosomal RNA is filed under the name Microbacterium sp. NASA2-40. RNAcentral's name for it is "bacterial SSU rRNA". It matches the Rfam family "Bacterial small subunit ribosomal RNA", at positions 853 to 1483 of the family's 1533-position model. Lineage: Bacteria; Bacillati; Actinomycetota; Actinomycetes; Micrococcales; Microbacteriaceae. The record is from RNAcentral.